GGCGGCAGGCAGAAGCCGGGGGACAGGCCCGGCCUUGCUCGGCCGCGGCCGGCGGGGAGCGGCCCGUCCGCCCCGCGGUCGCGCUGCGCUGGGUGCCGGAGUCGGGGCCCGCGGAGGGACGCACCUUUUCGUCAGCGGCGAAGACGGUGUGCGCUGCUCCUGGCCUCGCCCGCGGGCUUUAUUGCAGAGGGCUAAGCCGAGCAAGGCACGUUCUCCUUCAUGUUCUUGUGUGAUGAGUUUUCUCUUUCCCGUGCCACAUGAGCGUGCUUCAUAUAAGAGCCUCGGACUUAGCGAAGCGGGUUGUUAGAGAGGACAAGCUAGAGAGGAGGAGUGUGACUGCUGUCCUAAAGAAAGAAAGCAGGGGAGAACGCUAGAGUCAGAGGACUUGAUCUGCAAAAGAGAACAGUUGCCCGUAUCAGAUAACAUCAUUUUAUGGAAAAGGAGAGCUACAGCAAUUUGGAACUAUAAUUUAACUCGGGAUUUAUAUUGGCGAGCUCUAUGGAAGAACUCACACAGGGAUGUGCUUCAGUGAAAGUGAAAACUUCUGGCAGGAAAGGAAGGAAACAAACUGCAAAAUAACAACGUUCCAAUCCGUCCGAAAUCUAAUCACCUAAGAUGCCACUGGUAUCCAGACCACUUAAAAGAUUAGGAGUAACAGAUUAUGUUGGUUGUGCAUCAUUGCGUAUCUAAUGCUCUGUUCCUCAAGAGUUCUGUGGACAGAACCCUAUAAAUGCAAUGAAUUCUACAGAAAUAUACAGGAAUUCCUUAUGUUAUCAAAAUUCAACAUUUGGAUAGAUUCAGGCUUCGAUGGACCUUCAACACUCAUCAAGUUUAGAAUUCUGACUGAAAGAGCACACCAUCAACUAUAAGCCAUACCUAACAGAGAUUGUGGAAGUCUCAUCUGCAUUAGAACUCCCAACAUUACAGCUUAACUAAUUAUACUAUGCGUUUUUACAUUUAUCUGUCUUUUGUAAUAAGCAAUUUAAACAUAUAUUCUAUAGCAGAAUACAUUAUUCUCCCAUAUCCUUCUUCAUUAGUCUGUCCAAAGUUGUUCACAGCUUUCAACAAGCACUAUUCCUGCUACACUGAUUAUUAAUAAAUUCUUUCAGUGGCAUCUACGCCCCCAAACUGUCAGCAUCUCAGGUUCACUUCUUAUUUCCAGUGAAGUGUUCAGUCGCCUUCUACUUUUGUCUUGGCCAAAUGACCAUAGACAGUCUCCAUGUAUUUGCAUGUUAAUACAAUUGUUGUAUUAACAUGCAAUUGUAAUUGUCAGCCUGUGGCAGGUGGCAAACUGUUCUUAAGAAGAUUGAAUUAUCAUUUAUCAUUCUCUCUUAGUUUUUUCAUUUCACGUUUUCACAUCAUGUCAAACACAAAUACGCGUAGGGUGAACUAACACAGACAUAACUGCAGAAUCCUAAAUUAAAUAGGGAUGUCAAACAUUGAGGAAACUAAACAUCAACCAAAAUAAUGGACAAAACCACCGCUAACUGUACGUGAAGCAUGAUUUUUUACAACUUUGCAACAAUUUCCCUUCAGAGUUUGUUGGCUUUUUUAAGCACGUUGCAAAACUUGCCAUCUUUGCAGAAGAGUUAGUUUUGCUUUCUUGCUACAUCUGUCCUCCACAUUUUGAGGUUAAAACACAGAGGAGGAAAUAGAUUUUGUUUCAUUUUCAUACUCGAGCAGCUAAAAAUGAUAGAGGCAAUUUUGUUGUAAUUCCUUCAAAACUUCUAAUCUUUGGUGUUAGAUUUGUUGUUUUGAACUGAAAUGGAAAUUGAAUCACUUUUUUUUUUCGGGAGAGGCUGGGAAUUAUUAGCAAAGCUUUCAUGAAUAAGAAUGAGGCUAAGGAAGUUACUCAUUUAAGUCGAAUCUAUGAAGUUAGACCCUCUGCACGUAUUUCACUUUUCCUUCUAUUUUUGCAGUAUUUCAGGAUGUAAAAUUCUUAAUGUUUAAAGAUAAUCACACAUAUUAUAAUAGUUUUCCUAAUUUUCUUCAUAUAAGCCUAGCCUUAGAGAGAAACGUGUAUAUCUUGGUUAUAAAACAGGCUUUUCCUUCAAAUACAUGGCACAAACAACAGAAGAAGAAACCUUUUCAUUAUUUUUAGUCAUUCUCUGAAACCAGUUUUCUUGAGUGAUACUGAGUGAACACUCCUUUCUUGAAGGACAAAAAAAGGAACAAACCCAUGCAAAUAUGGCUUUGCAUAGGAUUCAGCACCUGAAAGGACUCGAUUCUAAUUCAUCUACUGUGCAAAAAAGGAAUCCUCUAACAAAAAAGCUAUCUCUUGGGACCCAACAUCUUUCUCCUCUAGACUUUCAUUUGGUAAGUCUGGUCCCUGCAGACACAGUGGAGAGCACCUAACUACAAGAUAAUGCAAGGGGAUAAAACAAUGCUGUGAAAGACUGCUUUUGGGGCGUAUAUGAAUCACCAGAAGCUACAUUCUACCGUAAACGCUGUUCUUAGUGGAAGAUGUACUUCUUUGAUACUACCUUCUCUAAUGGUCCCUGUGUUCUUGGAACAGGCAGUUGCCUCCUGUGAACAGCAAUGACCAUGCCAGUCUCCAUACGGUGUGCAGCUUGAUGAAAUGUUCCAACCCUUUGAAUCCUGUCAUCUAUGAGGCUCAGCACAGGUUGAAGUGGUUCUGAUCUGGAGGUGAGUACAUUAAUUUCUUGCCAAGUUAGUUGAGUCAGAAUUAAGUAGCAGCAUGGGGUUUCCUUUUAAGGAACAUAUGCCUUUCUCCUAUUAUAGAAUAAGGGCUAGCAUGCAGCCAAAAGUUAUGUAGACGGAAAAGUAGGCAGGCAAGUGCAAACUAUUGUGUUAACCAUAGAACUUUUUGAAAAUGAAUUUUGAAAUAUGAUUUAUUAAUAGGAAAUGGCUUAGCAUAAAUGGCACUACAGGGAACCACAAAUUUACUGUCAUUCUGUGACUUUCAGAGUCUGUUUGCUUAGUGUAGGAGUAAAUGGAUAAUGUAUGCCACCACUAGCACCAUCCGGUGAAGAAAAGAAUUAGUAAGAAAAGUCUGAGUUUCUCCUUCCUAAAGAAAAUCUGCAAACAGAACAAAACAAAACAAAAUUAAUAAAAUCACAACCUGAGUCAAAGGAAAAACCUCAAAAAGUAGACAGUGCAAACUCCAGCUUGCAGAGCAUCAGUGCAUCUGCAGACAAAGCUCUCAGCGAUGGUAAUAGCGCUGGGGCCUUCUGAACUUCAUCCGCACAGGCGUCCAUUGAGUUAUGCACCCACUCAUUUUAUUUUCUAAUGAAAUGCUACUAGCAUGGUUUGGGUUUUUUUUUUUUUCACCCAAAACUAUACCCUCUUCAGAGCUGGAUAUCCUUCCUAUGUUUAAAUCAUGCCUGAACACAAUGCGAUCUGAUUUCAUAGGAGCUUUGGGGUAUACUGUUAUACAAAUGGGAUAUAUAUUUCUAAGAAGAAGCAGCCAAAGCUGUGCCUUCUUGGGUUUACCUGUCACCAGGAAAAUAGUUUAUAACUCCGACAAGAACAUCUUACUUGAAAAUCCCUUGGAACUAGGGAAGUCUACUAACGUGAAAACCUCUCGUAACAGUUUUUUGGGGGCACAGGGUAUUUUGGAAAAUCUGAGCAAAAUUACCUCAAGUAUUCUUACGUAAGUCAGAAAUGGAAAACAGCCCACUUCUCUUAUAUUUCUGCAUUCUGCAUUCAGCUCUGGAUUUUCCAAAAAUUCAGAGGAAUUUAGAAAUUGAUCAGAAGGAUUCUAAACCAGAUUAGAAGUUUCCAGACGAGAUUCAUAAAAAUACCGCCUCCACAGGACUUCACCUUGCACAGUGUUCAGGACUGCACAAUGAUUUGAGUGUGCCUGGGAUCAGUUUGUGGGAAGUAAGCUCGCUAUUUGAAAUAGAGAUAUUGUCAUACAUGUACAGAUACUAAUUUUUUGUGCUUCACAAUGUCUGUGGAGAGGGAACAGGGAAAUUCCUGUUAAAGAUCUGUUAAAGAAAAUUUCAAGUUAAGGUUUCUAGAAGUUAAAUAUGUACUGAUUAACAGUAUCUGAUUGUAAGAUGCAGUGAACUGCAUCUGUGUCAAGGCUCUUUUGCUUUGGAUUAUUACUAAAAGCUAACAUUUCCGAACUUGUUUGUCAGCACUUAGCUGUAUCUGUGAAAGUCAGGAAGCUUCAAAAAUCAAGGUUUCUGUAACUUCAUUUCAACCAUAUGGUACUUUCUUAUCCUGUUUUGUUUUUUUUUUCUUCAAAUUUAACCCUAGUAUGUUCCUGUUAUUUAAUUUGUCGUAGCCAGUGUGACAGGACAUGAUUAUCACACAGCUAGCAAUUAAAAGGCAAAAAGACAUGAAAACAAACUUCUGGUGAAGGUGAGGGUAGCUAAAUCCCUUUAAGGUCAACUGCUGAAUUUUUGGAAUUUCCUGAUAGGAGAGUUCAACCUUAGCAAUAUUUUUAACCAGUUUUUGCACUUUAUAGGUAUGAGUAAGAUACAAUUACUAGGCUAUUUGAAUGCAAUAUGGAAAUUAAUGUCGUAAAACUGAAAGAAGUUUAUCUUGUACAUUUUCUUCUCAGUUUUACCUCUGGGUGCUGAUACAAAGUAAUAGUAAGUUGUAGUUAGGUUCAUAGUCCUGGAACAGAAUUUACAGAAUUUAACUUAAAAUCAGAAAUUUAUUUCAGUUUGAAAUACUAUUACAAAAAUAUGUGUUGUACUGAUUUUUCACAAGUGCUAAGUACGGACAGGUACUGUAUGAGUCAGUAUGAGAUGCUCUAGGUUAUCAGUAUUUCUGAAAAAUCAACUUACGUCAUCAAGUUACGGAGGCAUCUAAAGAUCAAUGCUGGUAUCAAAUGUGCACACUGUGGCCAAACUGUAACAUCAAAACAUUUUAAGUUAAAAUU
Molecule: long non-coding RNA, 4855 nt
Organism: Struthio camelus australis
Lineage: Eukaryota; Metazoa; Chordata; Aves; Struthioniformes; Struthionidae
Source: RefSeq, a predicted model, not a curated record